Molecule: long non-coding RNA, 4650 nt
Filed under: Cricetulus griseus (Chinese hamster)
Lineage: Eukaryota; Metazoa; Chordata; Mammalia; Rodentia; Cricetidae
Description: lncRNA (ENSCGRG00015031003.1)
Source: RNAcentral
CACGGCUCUGCAUGUGCCCCUUUCAAUCUUGGACUUGAACUCUCUUGGUUAAAAACGUGGUUUUGGUCUGUGUAGAAGGAAACACUUUUUCCAGGCUUGUUCAAUUCCAUCACCACAAGCUGUCAUAAAUUGCUUCAUUAUCUCAAGUGCUGAUGGAUCUGACUUGGCAAGGGUGCUUCCCAGGAGUUUUUGAAAUGAAGUUUCACCAUGUUACUCAUAAUGACCGGUAACUUGUGACCCUCUUACCCCUGCCUGGGGUUACUGGAAUUCAUCACCAGACCCAUUUAAUUUCUGUAAGUUUUUAUUCCCCCCCACCUAAAUGGGCAAAUUCUGUGCUCUUCCUAUAGGCAUGUGUUUAUGGGUAGAAUCAUUCUCGAGUGUUUAUUUCAUAAAGCUUCAAAGCAAAACAGUCAUCUCAUAAAAAUUCUCUCAGUAUCACUCUGACAAAUACGUUUCCAUAGGGAGCACACAGGAUGAUCUGAUCUGCAAGCUUGAAGAGUCCCCUGAGAGUGAUGGGUGACCAGGCCAUUGUUCUCUUGAGAGCUCAUCUUCUUACACAAAGUCGUAAGACCUCUCUAGUAUCUGCAGCUAGCUAGUAACACUGGAAGUGAGCAGAGCUGGAGGCAGCUAAAAUCUCUGACCUUUUUCCUUGACUUCUUCCAGGACUGUACUGGUUUGUUGUGUUCACUAUCUGAGAGGGCCAGGAGAAUAUCAAGACAGGCCCCUAAUACCUCAGUUACGAACUAGGUCUCAGUUCGAAACAAAGGGCAAUCAAUGCCCCUGACAUCUGGGCCAACAGUCCUUUCCCUCCCACAAGUGAUGACCAAAUAAGGACAAAGCCUGGGACUUGUCCAGACCUUCCCAAGACCGGAAAAAACUAUAGUCUUAGCCCACCCCUGCUGUUAGACCCCCGAAAACUCAAGUAUCCGGGGUCUCAGGCCAGGUUCGCGGUCACCCCAAUCACCAGGCGGAUUCGAGAGCUUGCUGCAAACUGCACGAGGCUUUAUUGUAAUUUAACGAACUAACCCCAUGUUAGCUCGGGUCUUUCACCCACCCGCCACGGCAGACAGCUAGAAAAGACGGCUCCUAAGGUCUCCCCAAAGAUCUUAUAGGGCAGCGUAAGGGGAGUGUCUAGGGGUACGCACAGGCUUACGAUUGGUGUGCCUCCAGGCUUGGAGGGCUUGCCCUGUGUUGAUUGGUCAACUGGUUGUUAUGGCUCAUAGGCCCUCCCAGGGUGGUUGCUAUGCUCUUACGUCAUUGUCGUGCGCUUGUCCGUAAAGCACACCCAGGGUCGUAAAGCAUAGCGCCACCAGCUAACUUCCGAUUGGCUCCUUGUCACAAGACAGGCAUCUGACCUCUACGUGACCAAGGCAGGUUUAUGGCAAGCACGUGUUCGGCUGUUAUGGCUGCCAAAAGGAAGCUGGUUCCUUCAUUCCCCCAUUUUCUUUUUUGUAAAUUCCAAUCAUGGAAUUGCUGUCUCUCUAGCAUCCCCAUCAGGGAGUGAUAGAUACUGGCAUCCCCAUGUAAGGGAGUUCCUUUUGACUUAGCAUUUUAACCAGGGAAAAUGGGCGUCGAAAUUCUUUUCCAAACUGCUUCCUGCUGACUUUGGGACGAAGUUAGGGACCCCAGAAGGUUGAAAUGCUAGUCAAAAGCAAAAAGGAAUUUAGGCAAUGGGGAAUUUAUCAGGGGCUUCUGGUUAGCAGACACUGUUGCAGAGACAGGGGGUGUCCACAUCAGCUGACUGGUUCACAUCCACAGUAAGUCCAGGGCUCGCAGUCUACUUAGAACAGCCUGUAGUCCGCAACUGAUACUCAGAUGUCUGCCAGAAGCAGAAACCUGUUUAAGACAUGUUUAAACUAGGAACAGAGGUUAAAGCUUAUUUACUGAAGUCCACAGUGUAGAAAAAGCAGAUAUCUGGAUAUCUGUUUAAACAGCAGGAACAUACUUAGCAAAAACUACAGAUUUGGGCUAUAAGCAUGUACAUUUUUCUUCUGUCCAGAGUGUCAGGUAUGGAUUGGACAGAGGUGCCUUUGGCCUGAUGAAAAGCCCUUUAAGUUUGUACUUAGAUGACAACCAAAAUAAACUUAAAAACUUUGAGCUUGUGCCUGAACAGUAGAUAGUUACUAUUUUAUCAGCUAACAUACUGACUAGUCUAUAGUGGAUCUGACUGCCUGAUGCUGUCAAGCUGACAACCAGUAAUAUUUCAGAGAUCUGAGAAGGGUAUAUUUUAUCUGAAUCUAUUAAAAAGUGACAGAAGCCAGUUAGAAGCCAGUCCAUAUACAGUUAGCCAAACCCAAGUUUCUCCAUUACCGCUGGAGGCAGGUGCAGGAACUGAGGUGCCUCGUAAUCUUCUUUGGAGACUUUGGGUCACUGUCCGGAUCUGGCAGUCUGUCUGACAUUAUAAACUUUAAAGAUAACAAUUUAAAUGCCAUAUUCUGAAGAUCUCUGAAGCAUUAGAGGUCUGUUUUAGUUACUUUUCUUAAGCAUACAAGAAGCACACAGGUGGCUAGGUAAAGUCUUACUUCUGUAAUACAGCUGAACUUAAAACUAUAUAGAGCUAUCUUAUAUUUCUUAAACAGUAGCUUAACUUCUUUCUGAGGCAGGGUUUUUCUGUGACUUUGGAGCCUGUCCUGGAAUUCGAUCUGCCGGACCAGGCAGGCCUUGAACUCAUAAAGAUCCAUUUGCCUCUUACUCCCGAGUGGUGGGAUUAAAGGCGUGUGCCACCUACACCCUGAGCUUAAAGGUGUGUGUUACCAACAUCUUAAACUUAACUUCUGAAAACACAAACUGUAACAGAUUAGCAUCUUUUAUAAAACAAGAACUUUACAUUGUCAGGCUUUGCUUAAGAAUAAUUCUAAAUUGAAGCUCUUUAAGUAUAAACAUUAAUAAAAACAAACAUUUGAAAACUGGUUUUAAAAAGAAAUUUAAAUUCCCUUAAGGUCUUUCUGUAAUAUAUAGAAGCAUUAACAUUUUAAAUCUUAAUUGAAAAACUUGUUUCUAAGAUGGUACCUCUAAUUUCCAUGGGGUCACCUUUAGUCAAGAUGGCGGCUUAAGUAUUCUUUUUUUAACUUUAGCAAAAUGGCGACCAGUCAAGUCAUGUGACCAGUUGGCCAUGUGCUGGCUAAACCAGGAAACAGAACAUUUUAAAACAAGUAUAUAUAAAUUAUUUGAGAAAUAAACAGGACUUUUUUUAAAAAUAAAAUCAGCUUAAUAUGAUUAAAAUUUUAAUUUAUAUUAUUAUUUUUAAAAUUUACUGUUUGUAGACAUGAGAAACCAUAGCACAGUUUACAUUUUUUUUUUCACUUGUAACAACCUUUUCCCUGACCUUUGACAACUUUCCUCUGACCUUCUAUAACUUAUUUUAACCCUCUAUAACUUUCUGUAACAAUCUUUUUCUCUGACCUCCAACAACUUGCUUUAACCCUCUAUAACUUUUACCAUUUGUUUUAACUCUCUAUAAUCUUUUAUUUUAUUUCUCUGACUUUCUUAGACAUUCUUAGAUAAUUUUUUUUCUCUUUAUUACUUGUCUUUUACAUUUUUUUUUAUUUUUUAGUUAACAUAAAAAUUUUGUCAAAGUCCCUUUUAUAGUUCUUAAUAACUUUAAGGCCCCCCUUUUUUUUUUUUUUGAAUAUCCGGAUCAGGACAGAUGGUUCAUCUGCCUGAGCUAGCUCCAUGUGCUCAAGGCAGAGAGACCUGGGGUGGGGGUGCUGCUGGUAACCCCAGACCCUUGGCCAAUCCAGGGGUGGGAAAAAGACUCCUGCGGCCCCCCUGCAUACCAUGUGUGUGGAGCACAGAAAGACGGGUAGCAGAUCUCAGCCUUGUAGCCAUGUUCCCCCAGAGCAGGGAAACAGCCAUAACGGCAGCUGGGGCAGAAACAGUCCUACUGGGCAUGCCUCAGACCCGCAGGUGGGGAUAGAAAGGGGGUGGCGUGGUGGAUCCUGAAUUGAAAACCAAUGAUGAUAACACAGAAUAGACAGGAAAGAACAGACGCCAACCCAAUCCGCCCACGCUGCUCAUAAGGCAAUGGCGCCGGGAAGACGGCGGCAGAACUCGGCGGCUAACUGAGGCGGGUCCAAGUGUCCUUGGCCCGAGUCCAUACCUCCUGGGUCCUGGGUGUCCUCAGAGUGGCAGUCUGUCCACAGGGCGUAUCUGCCGAUCACAGUUGAGGUGGCGCCACGUGCUCAGAGAAUCAAGAAAAGACCCCUGACCCCCUGACCCAUGCAUGCCACGUGCAUAGGGAGAGCAGGGACAGAAAGAGAUGCUUAAGAAACACAUAACACAAAUGACAGCACAUUAGACAGCACAAACAUUAGACAGGACAAACCGCGGCAAAGAAAUGGUGCCCCAAACCAAAAUUACAACCAAACCUUGGACUUUCAUCCAGGGUGGAACCAAGGUUCUCGCAAGUCUGCUUACCCUAUGGUUCAAUUACAAAUUCUGCGCAGAUCAAAUACAAAUUACAAAUUCUGCGCAGAUCAAAUCAAGCAACCCUCGGACUUUCAUCCAGGGCAGGACUUCAGGGUCUUCCCCAGAAGUCCGAAUUACAAAUACAAAUUCUGCGCAGAUCAAAUCAAGCAACCCUCGGACUUUCAUCCAGGGCAGGACUUCAGGGUCUUCCCCAGAAGUCCGAAUUACAAAUACAAAUUCUGC